UAAAACAGCAAUAAUUUCUUCGGUGAUGAUUUUACUCACGGAUAACCGUAGUAAUUCUAGAGCUAAUACGUGCUGAAAUAAGGUGGGGCUUGCUCCACCGUGCCGUUUAGAUAACAACACCAACAUUUGGUGAUUCAUAAUCGUCUUUCUGAUCGCUUUCGAGCGACACACCGUUCAAAUUU
RNAcentral lists this ribosomal RNA (182 nucleotides) under Lithophyllum sp. 100-304. RNAcentral's name for it is "partial 18S ribosomal RNA". It matches the Rfam family "Eukaryotic small subunit ribosomal RNA", at positions 102 to 306 of the family's 1831-position model. The record is from RNAcentral. Lineage: Eukaryota; Rhodophyta; Florideophyceae; Corallinales; Lithophyllaceae.